This 254-nucleotide ribosomal RNA is filed under the name uncultured bacterium. Its description in RNAcentral is "partial 16S ribosomal RNA". It matches the Rfam family "Bacterial small subunit ribosomal RNA", at positions 524 to 776 of the family's 1533-position model. The record is from RNAcentral.
UACGGGGGGAGCAAGCGUUGUUCGGAUUUACUGGGCGUAAAGGGCGCGUAGGCGGCCACCGCAAGUCGAUUGUGAAAUCUCCGGGCUUAACUCGGAAAGGUCAACCGAUACUGCGGGGCUAGAGUGAUGUAGGGGAGACUGGAAUUCCUGGUGUAGCGGUGAAAUGCGCAGAUAUCAGGAGGAACACCGAUGGCGAAGGCAGGUCUCUGGGCAUUAACUGACGCUGAGGAGCGAAAGCAUGGGGAGCGAACAGG